Diospyros lotus (date-plum) is the source of this 892-nucleotide long non-coding RNA. RefSeq lists it as uncharacterized. The record is from RefSeq and is a predicted model, not a curated record. The transcript is spliced from 3 exons. Lineage: Eukaryota; Viridiplantae; Streptophyta; Magnoliopsida; Ericales; Ebenaceae.
CUGAUUUAGGGUUUAGGUCGCGAUCUUUUUACUCUCUGUUUCGAUCUCUCGCUCGCUCUCUCUUACGCAUCCAAAAUACUAUCUAAUAAUAUAGAUCGGACGCCCCCACUCCACUAGCUUCAUCUCCCCCUACCACUUUGGCCGAGCUUUGAAAUUUCUGGUCGAAGUAAGAACCCGAGUGGGAAGUGAAUCGGACGCCCCUCAACGAGCUUUGAAAACAAGAUUGUUAAGAUGGCGUCUGAUUUAGAAAUGGGUGAAAUUUCAAUCAACUCUUCAACCUCGCAUCAAGGAGUCAUGUGUGAGCAUGGUGUGCCAGUUCGGAGCUAUACUUCAUGGACUAAAUCUAAUCCUGGAAAAAGAUUCUUGCGAUGUCGAUUCUGGAAGGAUGAUGAUUGCAAAUGGUUUCAAUGGAUCGACGAUGAACAAACCAAUCGUGAGAAAACAUUAUGUGGUGUUUUGUUGGAUAUUUUAGAACGGAACAAGACAGAAAAAAAAAAAAAGCAAAUGAGAGAUUACUUUAAGAACAAGUGAGGGCUUUUGAAGAAAAAGCUUUAAGGAGAAAACAAAAGAUAUUGAAACUUCAAAAAGACUAUAGAUAUAUAAUGGAAGAGAACCUUCAAUUGAAAAUAAAGCUUCAAUUGAAAAUGAAGUUUGUUAGGGUUUUAAUAGUGUUAGGAUUUAGUUAUUUUUUGUGAAUUGUAUUGGUAACGGAAAAUGACGGUAGUAGAUUUAGGUAUUUGGGUUUAGUGUAAAAUACUGUCUAUGUUGGCAAAACUUUGUUUGUUAUGGGAUUGUUUAGCUUUUAAGUGUUUGCUUUAGUUAUUUUUUUCUCUAUUGUUUGCUUUGUGGUUCACUUAUGGCUUUAAUUGUGAAAUGGCAUGUUGAAGUUGGU